CCUACGGGUGGCUGCAGUGGGGAAUAUUGGACAAUGGGGGGAACCCUGAUCCAGCCAUGCCGCGUGUGUGAAGAAGGCCCUCGGGUUGUAAAGCACUUUCAGUGAGGAAGAACGCCUGGUGGUUAAUACCCAUCAGGAAAGACAUCACUCACAGAAGAAGCACCGUCUAACUCCGUGCCAGCAGCCGCGGUAAUACGGAGGGUGCGAGCGUUAAUCGGAAUUACUGGGCGUAAAGCGCGCGUAGGUGGCUUGAUAAGCCGGUUGUGAAAGCCCCGGGCUCAACCUGGGAACGGCAUCCGGAACUGUCAAGCUUGAGUGCAGGAGAGGAAGGUAGAAUUGCCGGUGUAGCGGUGAAAUGCGUAGAGAUCGGGAGGAAUACCAGUGGCGAAGGCGGCCUUCUGGACUGACACUGACACUGAGGUGCGAAAGCGUGGGUAGCAAACAGGAUUAGAUACCCUAGUAGUC
RNAcentral lists this ribosomal RNA (465 nucleotides) under Vreelandella stevensii. RNAcentral describes it as "partial 16S ribosomal RNA". It matches the Rfam family "Bacterial small subunit ribosomal RNA", at positions 338 to 795 of the family's 1533-position model. Lineage: Bacteria; Pseudomonadati; Pseudomonadota; Gammaproteobacteria; Oceanospirillales; Halomonadaceae. The record is from RNAcentral.